UACGGAGGGUGCAAGCGUUAUCCGGAUUUAUUGGGUUUAAAGGGUCCGUAGGCGGACUCGUAAGUCAGUGGUGAAAUCUCACAGCUUAACUGUGAAACUGCCAUUGAUACUGCGGGUCUUGAGUGUUGUUGAAGUAGCUGGAAUAAGUAGUGUAGCGGUGAAAUGCAUAGAUAUUACUUAGAACACCAAUUGCGAAGGCAGGUUACUAAACAACAACUGACGCUGAUGGACGAAAGCGUGGGGAGCGAACAGG
This 253-nucleotide ribosomal RNA is filed under the name uncultured bacterium. RNAcentral's name for it is "partial 16S ribosomal RNA". It matches the Rfam family "Bacterial small subunit ribosomal RNA", at positions 524 to 776 of the family's 1533-position model. The record is from RNAcentral.